AGCGAACGCUGGAGGCAGGCUUAACACAUGCAAGUCGAACGGGCAUCUUCGGAUGUCAGCGGCAGACGGGUGAGUAACACGUGGGAACGUACCCUUCGGUUCGGAACAACUCUGGGAAACUGGAGCUAAUACCGGAUACGCCCUUAUGGGGAAAGGUUUACUGCCGAAGGAUCGGCCCGCGUCUGAUUAGCUAGUUGGUGGGGUAACGGCCUACCAAGGCGACGAUCAGUAGCUGGUCUGAGAGGAUGAUCAGCCACACUGGGACUGAGACACGGCCCAGACUCCUACGGGAGGCAGCAGUGGGGAAUAUUGGACAAUGGGCGCAAGCCUGAUCCAGCCAUGCCGCGUGAGUGAUGAAGGCCUUAGGGUUGUAAAGCUCUUUUGUCCGGGACGAUAAUGACGGUACCGGAAGAAUAAGCCCCGGCUAACUUCGUG
RNAcentral lists this ribosomal RNA (435 nucleotides) under uncultured bacterium. RNAcentral describes it as "partial 16S ribosomal RNA". It matches the Rfam family "Bacterial small subunit ribosomal RNA", at positions 29 to 507 of the family's 1533-position model. The record is from RNAcentral.